UGCGUAGGCGGCUUUUUAAGUCGGAUGUGAAAUCCCUGAGCUUAACUUAGGAAUUGCAUUCGAUACUGGGAAGCUAGAGUAUGGGAGAGGGUGGUAGAAUUCCAGGUGUAGCGGUGAAAUGCGUAGAGAUCUGGAGGAAUACCGAUGGCGAAGGCAGCCAUCUGGCCUAAUACUGACGCUGAGGUACGAAAGCAUGGGGAGCAAACA
Molecule: ribosomal RNA, 207 nt
Filed under: uncultured bacterium
Lineage: Bacteria
Description: partial 16S ribosomal RNA
Rfam family: Bacterial small subunit ribosomal RNA
Source: RNAcentral